RNAcentral lists this ribosomal RNA (253 nucleotides) under uncultured bacterium. Its description in RNAcentral is "partial 16S ribosomal RNA". It matches the Rfam family "Bacterial small subunit ribosomal RNA", at positions 524 to 776 of the family's 1533-position model. The record is from RNAcentral.
GACAGAGGUGCCAAGCGUUAGGCGGAAUCACUGGGCUUAAAGCGUGUGUAGGUGGAUGUCUAAGUACCUUGUGAAAUCCCACGGCUCAACCGUGGAACUGCUCGGUAUACUGGAUGUCUUGAGCCACUUAGGGGCUACCGGAACAAAUGGUGGAGCGGUGAAAUGCGUAGAUAUCUGGAGGAAUACCGGUGGCGAAGGCGGCAUCCUGGACCGGCAUUGACGCUGAUGAGCGAAAGCUAGGGGAGCAAACGGG